Stegastes partitus (bicolor damselfish) is the source of this 273-nucleotide long non-coding RNA. RefSeq lists it as uncharacterized. Lineage: Eukaryota; Metazoa; Chordata; Actinopteri; Pomacentridae. The transcript has 3 exons. The record is from RefSeq and is a predicted model, not a curated record.
UUCCUUUUCUCCAAUUCAGUUUCACUUUUACCGUCUUUGUGUCGCAGCUUCUUUUAUCCGUCUGAAGUGAGACCAGCGGCUUCAACAGUUCAGCAACUUGGAGCUUCACGGACCCAAACGGUUCUGUUGUCCGACCGGCAGAGAGCGAAGACGAACCCGGCAGCAGAACCCUGAACACGGUGAAGGUGAACGGUGUGUGUGAGCUGGUGUGAGUUCAGCAGCAUGGAUCAGUGUGAGGAUCCUCAGAGCUCUCUGUGUGGGGAACAGAAGAAC